This 73-nucleotide transfer RNA is filed under the name Candidatus Anammoximicrobium sp. Its description in RNAcentral is "tRNA-Glu". It matches the Rfam family "tRNA". From Rfam's summary of the family: Transfer RNA (tRNA) molecules are approximately 80 nucleotides in length. Lineage: Bacteria; Pseudomonadati; Planctomycetota; Planctomycetia; Pirellulales; Pirellulaceae. The record is from RNAcentral.
GGCGCGGUGCGAUGAUGGUCUUGCAGCGAGGCUUUCAAUCUCGCCCACACGGGUUCGAUUCCCGUCCGCGUCA